GAAAAAACAAAGUCGAUAAUUAAUGCACCACCUCAGCAUAGCACUUUAUUCAAAAAUGACUCAAGUUUUGCUUCUCAGUAGCAUUUUAAGAUGCCAAUACACCCAAAAAACGAGAUAUUAAAAACCCAAGAAAGUCAUUCGAUCCCUGCAAAAGGAAGCAAGGC
Molecule: ribosomal RNA, 164 nt
Filed under: Schmidingerella taraikaensis
Lineage: Eukaryota; Ciliophora; Spirotrichea; Tintinnida; Rhabdonellidae
Description: partial Trypanosomatid mitochondrial large subunit ribosomal RNA
Source: RNAcentral